UUGGGGUUGGGGCUCAGUGGAAGAGUGCUUGCCUAGCAUGUGGGAGGCAUUAGGUUCAAUUCUUAGUACCGCAAA
Molecule: transfer RNA, 75 nt
Filed under: Marmota monax (woodchuck)
Lineage: Eukaryota; Metazoa; Chordata; Mammalia; Rodentia; Sciuridae
Description: tRNA.Ala
Source: RNAcentral